This 478-nucleotide ribosomal RNA is filed under the name uncultured bacterium. Its description in RNAcentral is "partial 16S ribosomal RNA". It matches the Rfam family "Bacterial small subunit ribosomal RNA", at positions 28 to 523 of the family's 1533-position model. The record is from RNAcentral.
GACGAACGCUGGCGGCGUGCUUAACACAUGCAAGUCGAACGGUAAGGCCCUUCGGGGUACACGAGUGGCGAACGGGUGAGUAACACGUGGGUGAUCUGCCCUGCACUUCGGGAUGAGCCUGGGAAACUGGGUCUAAUACCGGAUAGGACCCUGGGAUGCAUGUCCUGGGGUGGAAAGCUUUUGCGGUGUGGGAUGGGCCCGCGGCCUAUCAGCUUGUUGGUGGGGUGAUGGCCUACCAAGGCGACGACGGGUAGCCGGCCUGAGAGGGUGACCGGCCACACUGGGACUGGGAGACGGCCCAGACUCCUACGGGAGGCAGCAGUGGGGAAUAUUGCACAAUGGGCGCAAGCCUGAUGCAGCGACGCCGCGUGAGGGAUGACGGCCUUCGGGUUGUAAACCUCUUUCAGCACCGACGAAGCGCAAGUGACGGUAGGUGCAGAAGAAGGACCGGCCAACUACGUGCCAGCCGCCGCCGUAA